UACAGGGGGUGCAAACGUUGCUCGGAAUCAUUGGGCGUAAAGCGCACGUAGGCGGUCUGUUAUGUCGGAUGUGAAAGCCCUCGGCUUAACUGAGGAAGUGCAUCCGAAACUGGCAGGCUAGAGUACUAAAGAGGGUCGCGGAAUUCCCGGUGUAGAGGUGAAAUUCGUAGAUAUCCGGAGGAACACCGGUGGCGAAGGCGGCUUCCUGGACCGACACUGACGCUGAGGCGCGAAAGCUAGGGGAGCAAACGGG
Molecule: ribosomal RNA, 253 nt
Filed under: uncultured bacterium
Lineage: Bacteria
Description: partial 16S ribosomal RNA
Rfam family: Bacterial small subunit ribosomal RNA
Source: RNAcentral